Heterocephalus glaber (naked mole-rat) is the source of this 924-nucleotide non-coding RNA. The record is from RefSeq and is a predicted model, not a curated record. NCBI's taxonomy places the organism in Eukaryota, Metazoa, Chordata, Mammalia, Rodentia, Bathyergidae.
UCUAGCCCUCCAGAGAGUCCUGGCAUCAGGUCAAGCUGGAGGAUGUGGCUGUGGAGAGCCCUUCAUCAAGUGUCAUCCCAGCUUCUCCUUCAACUCCUGGCUAGAGAUUAGAUCUACACACUCCUGAUACCAUUGUUUCCAAGGAUCUCCUCUGUUCCCACAUUAGGAUCUGCCAGGAAGAAGUCUGCUCCAGUUACUAUCUUUCCUGUGGGCCCAGGGCAUUAACUCCUCAAGGCAUGGCCGCUCUUCUUGUCAUGUGACCUCCCCAGCACCCCUGGGAUGUGGCCAGGUGAGGAUCGUGAUUCCCAUUGUACAGAUUGGAAGGCAGCCCCGGGGGAGGGGACCAGGAGCCAUUCCAGCUCACCCAGUGUACAGAAGACAGAGGCAAAUGGGACUUUGGGCUCAGAGCCACCCCCUUAGUCGGCACCAGUUUCCUCUUCUCCCUCCUCCUUAGACAUAGGGUGGCAGCUGAUACGUAGUUAAAUACCCAAACUUUCUGUGUCUGAGAGAACAAAGCUCAUGUGUCCUAGAGUCCUGGGGGCAAAGGUUGACUGUGGAGCCCAAAGAGAGGAGAGAACUUGGGGCCACACGGUCCAGAAGGAGGAGGUGUCCAGAAGAGGCAUGGGGAGUAGAAGACCUGGGUGCUGGAAAGCUGGCUGAGCCCUGGAAAGCUGCCUGAGCCCUGGCUUUGCCACACUGCUUCCUGUGCCCUCAGGCCAGAAUGAACAGAAUUUCUCAGAAUUCUGGGCCCAUCAGAUGCUCUGGGGCAAAAUGUCAUAGGUCAAGUAUACCUUGAAACUGCUAUGAGUUCUGUCCUAGCCCGGAGGCUCCCAAUCCCCAUCAGGACCAGAAGGCUUCGCUGGAAGCUGGCAGCAGCAGCGGACAGUUUGAACUGCUUUCAGUCCUGUUUAGCAGCACAUGGAA